UACAGAGGUGGCAAGCGUUGUUCGGAAUUACUGGGCGUAAAGGGCGCGUAGGCGGCCUUCUAAGUCAGACGUGAAAUCCCCCGGCUUAACCUGGGAACUGCGUCUGAUACUGGGAGGCUAGAGUGCGGGAGAGGGGGAUGGAAUUCCGCGUGUAGCAGUGAAAUGCGUAGAUAUGCGGAGGAACACCGAUGGCGAAGGCAAUCCCCUGGGCCUGCACUGACGCUCAUGCACGAAAGCGUGGGUAGCGAACAGG
RNAcentral lists this ribosomal RNA (253 nucleotides) under uncultured bacterium. RNAcentral describes it as "partial 16S ribosomal RNA". It matches the Rfam family "Bacterial small subunit ribosomal RNA", at positions 524 to 776 of the family's 1533-position model. The record is from RNAcentral.